Molecule: ribosomal RNA, 256 nt
Filed under: uncultured bacterium
Lineage: Bacteria
Description: partial small subunit ribosomal RNA
Rfam family: Bacterial small subunit ribosomal RNA
Source: RNAcentral
AGGACGAACGCUGGCGGCGUGCCUAACACAUGCAAGUGGAGCGACGAACCAGGCUUCGGCCUGGGGCAAAGCCGCGAACGGGUGAGUAACACGUGAGCAACCUGCCCUUAGCUCCGGGAUAGCUCCGGGAAACCGAUUAAUACCGGAUACGACCACGGCCGACAUCUGCUGUGGUGGAAAGGAUUCCGGCUAAGGAUGGGCUCGCGGCCUAUCAGCUAGUUGGUGGAGUAACGGCCCACCAAGGCGACGACGGGUA